Chiroxiphia lanceolata (lance-tailed manakin) is the source of this 894-nucleotide long non-coding RNA. RefSeq lists it as uncharacterized. The transcript has 3 exons. The record is from RefSeq and is a predicted model, not a curated record. NCBI's taxonomy places the organism in Eukaryota, Metazoa, Chordata, Aves, Passeriformes, Pipridae.
GGUUCACUCCAGGGAAGAAGAGGUCUUCAGAAAUCUCAUCUGUCUCUCACUGCUUACUCAGAAAAACUCAUUUUGUUCAGUACUUCUAGAUUUAGCUGAAUGGGGUGGGAAAGAGGAAAUGUGUACAACUGCGUAACGGCACCUGGUGCGCUGCUAUGUUCUUUUUGCUCAGAAGCCAGCCCUGAAGAUGGAGACACCCCACAACCCCAAAGGUGACAGCUCAGUGACACAGAGCAUGGGAAAGACUUACCUCCACAGGACAGUUCAUCCUGCAGCAGAACAAGGUGGACUGGGCAAGAACAGCGUGUGGUGCCAUCGCCCUUCACAAUGCAAAUGUGCGAGCAGCCACCAUUGUCUUGAGAACAAGGAUGUUGUCCUGUGAUUUUAAAAAUAAGAAAGACGGAGACUGACAAGGAAUCUUCACUUCUUUUAUAACCUUUCAGCGAUUUCUCUGGGCCCAUCGGUCUCCCUUCAUUACUUCCUUCCCCCUGGGGAGAGCAUUACUAAAAAAUCCCUGAAAGAGUUGUAUUUUUCCCUUUACAUCAGUAAUUAUAACGCACAUUGGUAACUGUCCAUGAUCUGAAACCACUGUAAGAAUUGUGCUGUGGCAUCUACUAAAACGGUACUCAAAGCAUUUUGCUUCUUGUGUGAGGUAGAAUUAGUUCUCUGCAGCAAAUGGUAGUAUUAGUAAUACAAAAAGAUGUCUUGGAUUCCAUACUUCAUUUUCUCUAUCAAAGACCAUUAAAAAAGUAAACUUUUCUAAUUUAUGAAUUCUGAAGCUUCUGUGCUGUCUCCAAAAUUCAAAUUAACAUGCUCUAGAUAAAUAUGUCUCUUCAUUUUAAUGUUUAAUAAGGACAACAUACUUCUCUUGGAACUCCUGACAGAUUUAUUGAG